This 1459-nucleotide ribosomal RNA is filed under the name Peptoniphilus sp. gpac077. RNAcentral's name for it is "bacterial SSU rRNA". It matches the Rfam family "Bacterial small subunit ribosomal RNA". Lineage: Bacteria; Bacillati; Bacillota; Tissierellia; Tissierellales; Peptoniphilaceae. The record is from RNAcentral.
GACGAACGCUGGCGGCGCGCUUAACACAUGCAAGUCGAGCGAUGAAAUCUUAACAGAACCCUUCGGGGCGAAGAUAAGACGGAUUAGCGGCGGACGGGUGAGUAACACGUGAGUAACCUGCCUUUUACACAGGGAUAGCCUCGGGAAACCGGGAUUAAAACCUGAUGAAACUAUCAAAUCACAUGAUUAAGAAAGUUAAAACUCCGGUGGUAAAAGAUGGACUCGCGUCCCAUUAGCUAGUUGGUUGAAGGUAACGGCCACCAAGGCAACGAUGGGUAGCCGGCCUGAGAGGGUGAACGGCCACAUUGGAACUGAGAAACGGUCCAAACUCCUACGGGAGGCAGCAGUGGGGAAUAUUGCACAAUGGGGGAAACCCUGAUGCAGCGACGCCGCGUGAGCGAAGAAGGCCUUCGGGUCGUAAAGCUCUUUAUAUAUGGGAAGAUAAUGACGGUACCAUAAGAAAAAGCCCCGGNUAACUACGUAGCCAGCAGCCGCGGUAAUACGUAGGGGGCUAGACGUUGUCCGGAAUCACUGGGACGUAAAGGGUUCGCANGCGGCAAUGCAAGUCAGAUGUAAAAAGGCAAAGGCUCAAACAUUUGUAAGCAUCUGAAACUGUAUAGCUUGAACUUUAAGGCGCCAAGGGAAUUUUCUAGUCACCGGUAAAACGCCGUAGAUAUAAAGAGAAAUCCCGUGGCCGAAGGCGACCUCUGGGGCAACAAAUCUGGACCCUGAGGAACGAAAGCUUGGGGACCAAACAGGAUAAGAUACCCCUGGUAGUCCACGCCGUAAACGAUGAGUGCUAGGUGUCGGUAUAAAUCGGUCCCGCAGUUAACACAAUAAGCACUCCGCCCUGGGGAGUACGUGCGCAAGCAUGAAACUCAAAGGAAUUGACGGGGACCCGCACAAGCAGCGGAGCAUGUGGUUUAAUUCGAAGCAACGCGAAGAACCUUACCAGGGCUUGACAUAUAAGAGACGAACUUAGAGAUAAGUUUUCUUCUUCGGAAGCCCUUAUACAGGUGGUGCAUGGUUGUCGUCAGCUCGUGUCGUGAGAUGUUGGGUUAAGUCCCGCAACGAGCGCAACCCUUAUUACUAGUUACCAGCAUUUCGGAUGGGGACUCUAGAAAGACUGCCGAUGAUAAAUCGGAGGAAGGUGGGGAUGACGUCAAAUCAUCAUGCCCUAUAUGCCCUGGGCAACACACGUGCUACAAUGGCCGUAACCAAAGAGAAGCGAAAUCGCCAAGGUCAAGCAAACCUCAAAAAGACGGUCUCAGUUCGGAUUGUUCUCUGCAACUCGAGAACAUGAAGUCGGAGUUGCUAGUAAUCGCAGAUCAGAAUGCUGCGGUGAAUGCGUUCCCGGGUCUUGUACACACCGCCCGUCACACCAUGGGAGCUUGUAAUACCCGAAGCCUGUGAGCUAACCGCAAGGAAGCAGCAGUCGAAGUAGACAAGUGACUGGGUG